CUGCAGCGAAAGUGCCGAGUCCUAACCACUGGACCGCCAGGGAAUUCCCUGUUUUUAUUUUUUAGAGACCAAAUAAGGUCUCUACAUUCAAUUGGUUGAUAUAUUCCUCACAAAAUCCUCCCUCUUCUCUCUCUCUCUCACUUUUUCUUGUAUUUCAUUUGUUGAAAAAAAACCUUGUCCUUUAACUGUCUCCCACAGGUCUGUAUUUGGCUAAUUCCAUCCUAUGGGGGUCCUUUAACAUGUUCCUCUAUCCUCUGCUUUCCUAAUAUUGGUAGUUGGAUCUGUAAACAUGAUCAGGUUCAGAUUGGGGAGAGGGGGGGCAAGAAUACUCCAUAGUGAUCUUAUGUAACUUCUAUCAAGAGGUACCUGGCGUUUUGUUUUUGUUUUCGUUUUUCUGUCUCUUUUCUUGUAAUGUUAGCAGCCAUCGAUAAGCCCUGAUUUCACUUCGGUUUGCCAAAUGAUGAUAUUUUAAAUCCGUCGCUCCUUCUUCAUUUAUUAGUUGAAAUACUUCUAUAAAGAGAACUACCCCUAAUCAACUAUUUGGUUUUUCCCUGAGGUACAGUUUGUAUAGGAACAGCACAACAGCUGCUUGAUUAGGACUCCUUUGAUUUUUUUUUUUUAAUAUCACUAUAUAAAUUUUGGCCUCCAUGCCUUAGAUUUCGGAGUCCCUUCCAGUGAGAGACUCUUCUCUGACAGGACAUUUAUACAUGCAUACAACUCAGAAUAACUUUUCUCAUGGCCUUUGAUGUUUUUCUCCUGCCUACCCCUCUCCAGUUUGUCUAGGUUCGCCAGAAAGCAUUGUGCUGAAGAGCUCACUAAAUACUUGAGUGAUUCCUCAGGGAUGGACUUGCUAAGUUGCCAAUUAAUAUUUCCCGAUACUAUCCAGGCCUGAAAACAGGAGAGGAAAUUACAUUCCCAUUAGCUGGGAAUGGUUUUACAUCCCUUUCAUGGUAAUAUGAGAGUAUACCAUCUUCAUUUAUCUUAUCUACCCAAGCAUUGUUCUAAAUCAAAUAUGAUCAGUAUGUUAAAUAAUAACAGCAAUAAGGUAUAACAAUCAGAUCAGAAGGUAAGGAAAAAAACUGGCAGGCAGAGGUACGGGGUAAUUCAUGUGAAAUCCAGGGGUACCAUCUCUCCAGGGGAGGAAGUGUUUCGGCCUGGGGCGGGGGUACAACAGGGAAUGAGAAAGUUCGGACAUUCUGAGAAUCUGGCACUGGAUUAAUGUGAAAUGUCCUAGAAGAGUGUCCUGCAAGAAGGAGUCAGUUAGAGGACAUGGAGGGACACAAAAGCUGCAUUAUUAGCACAAGCAGGCAUAACCCUCACCCCAGCUAGGAAUGUGAUGUGUGCUCAUGGUCUGUGAGCAACCCUAGAUUUAGGAGGCAGGGUGUGGAAGCAGCACAGAACCAAGGGUCUGAAGAGCCAGCCUCUGGUUUUGGUGAGGUUAUUUACUAGCCAUCUGGUUUUGGACAGGUCAGUUGAUCAUUCUAGGCUUCAGUCUAUCUGAGAAAUCAGAAAAAACAUCUUUGUCUCUAACACUUUACAAAUUUGGGGCUCUCACAGACCCUAGGAUCGUCCACGUCGAGAGCAAGCGCUUCCACACGGACACCUUCAAGCUCUGAGGGGAUAAAAGCAGGUCAUCGAUAGCCUGGCUCCCUCUCUCUCUCCCACUCCUCGGCCCUCCCCAGGCUCCGGCCCCUCCUAUGCAGACUUCCUAGUAGUAUUUAACAGACAGCUCACUGGCUUAUAACAUAAAUAGUCUUUUUCUUUCACCCUGUUUCUCAUAUUGUACAGAUGUGUCUACCUUAUAAGAUGUGAGCUCUUGAGGGGCGAUGCAUGACUUGCUUUGCGGCUCUGCUACCUGCCCCCUACCCCGCGCCCCCCAGCCAUGAGCAGGGAAUACUUAAAUGAUAUUGGCGAGAGUCAAGAUGACUGACUUUUCAUAGUUCCCUUUGUUUCUACCCUAUGACUGGGCUUCUUGCACAUUCUCCACACCUCCUCUCUCCCUCACUUCAGAAUCCACGUCAUCACCAAGCCCUAUCAGCUUUACCUCCCAGAUUCCUCUCAACCCCAUCUGUCAGCCGUCCCAUCUCCACCACUAAGCUCUUGUCCCAGGGGACCACCAUCUCUCGUCUGAAUUCCUGCAGUGGCCUCCCAACUGACGUCGCAGAUUUUCAAGUAUUUCACUUUACUAUUUUGAAGGAAGAAUGGAUAAACUGAAAAUUGCUAGAGCAAACAGCCUGGAGUCAGGUUGUGAAGUGGCUUAUUUGGCAUGCUACGGACACUGGCGGUCUUUGCGAAGAGGUGCGAAUGGGACGGCCGCCGGCUAGGGCAAGUAUCCAGGACCGGGGCGGGUCUUGCCGUCGGGCGGCGCUGACAGCGAGUACAACUGGCGGGCAGGCUCCGCCUUCCUUCUUCCGCCUCCUGAGGGCGUUCCGGGCGCAGGGCGGGGCUAGGGGCGGGGUCAGGAGGCCCAGGCCCCGCCUCCUUCCGUCCGCUGCGGUCGGCGCGGCAGGGCGGGGCCGCUGGG
Molecule: long non-coding RNA, 2524 nt
Organism: Aethalodelphis obliquidens (Pacific white-sided dolphin)
Lineage: Eukaryota; Metazoa; Chordata; Mammalia; Artiodactyla; Delphinidae
Exons: 3
Source: RefSeq, a predicted model, not a curated record